GGUACGCCGUGCCGGAGGAACACUGGGCCGGGCUGCGGGCCCGGCUGCCCGCGUUCGACCCGUCACGUACUCCCA
This 75-nucleotide transfer RNA is filed under the name Streptomyces flaveus. RNAcentral describes it as "tRNA-Arg". Lineage: Bacteria; Bacillati; Actinomycetota; Actinomycetes; Kitasatosporales; Streptomycetaceae. The record is from RNAcentral.